ACUUGACUUUAGCAAUUAGUGAAAAGAUUUCAUCAUAAUCAAUGCUCUCACAGUGAUUAUAUAACCUUUUGCCACUAACCUCGCCUUGCAGGUUUGCACAUUGUCAUUAGCAUCAAAUGGAUAUUACCCCAGAUGAUGACUCAGUUAAGGUCUAACCAAUCCAUUUUAGAUUUUAUGGCUUUUUGCCACUUCUAAGAAUAUAUUAUCAUCAUGGAACCUAUGACUAUCAUAGUUUUGCAUAAGUUCUAAGUUCAGCACCAAUUCCAAAUUCUUUAUCAUCUUGAUCCUAGAUCAAUAGAUACAUUCUUUAGUUGGUUUACGUUCUUUAGAACUUAUACGACGUUGCAUUUGUGCAGGCUCUUCGUUAUUCUGAACUUGAAGAACUUGAGGAAGUUGAUCCGCUAUAUCAUGAUGAAGGAUCUUCGACAUCCAAUGUCAUAUCUCCCCCCGUAUUGAAGAAUAUUGCAUUUCUGCAAAAAUCUUCAAUACUGCUCUUAUUGGAUGUGUCUGACGCUCUAAGUAGUGCAUCAGUACCAAUAAGAUCAUGAACAGCUCCCACUAAAUCCUUGUUUAGACCAUCUAACAAGUUUUCUUCCUCAAUGUUGACUUUGUGGUUCUCAAAUCUUGUCAAGAUCUAAGUCAUAACGAUCUUGUUCUCUAUAGACCAAGUCUUUUCAAGAAACAUCGCAAUCCUAAAACUGAGAACUUAUAUUUUCCAAGAAAAUAGUAGUAUUCUCGUGUUUUCUUCGGAUAUCCCACAAAGUAACACUUCUCACUUUUGAUUCCAACUAAUCAGUGAGCAUUUUCUCUACAUAUGUAGUGUAACCCAAGGUUCACAUAUGUGUAAAACUAUGCU
RNAcentral lists this long non-coding RNA (856 nucleotides) under Salvia miltiorrhiza (redroot sage). Its description in RNAcentral is "long non-coding RNA (SMIL_LNC000308)". The record is from RNAcentral. Lineage: Eukaryota; Viridiplantae; Streptophyta; Magnoliopsida; Lamiales; Lamiaceae.